UGUCGCAGAAGUCAUAUCCUGGAC
Molecule: non-coding RNA, 24 nt
Filed under: Rattus norvegicus (Norway rat)
Lineage: Eukaryota; Metazoa; Chordata; Mammalia; Rodentia; Muridae
Source: RNAcentral